This 834-nucleotide small RNA is filed under the name Pongo abelii (Sumatran orangutan). RNAcentral's name for it is "retained intron". Lineage: Eukaryota; Metazoa; Chordata; Mammalia; Primates; Hominidae. The record is from RNAcentral.
CCUUCUGCCCUCACCCUUAGUGGGAUCACAGCAGCCGCACAGCUGUGUCUCUCUUGUAGGCGGGCCUUCGUGAGGAUGAGUACAAGCCCUGAGGCUUUCCUGGCGCUCCGCUCCCACUUCGCCAGCUCUCACGCUCUGAUAUGCAUCAGCCACUGGAUCCUCGGGAUUGGAGACAGACAUCUGAACAACUUUAUGGUGGCCAUGGAGACCGGCAGCAUGAUCGGGAUCGACUUUGGGCAUGCGUUUGGAUCCGCUACACAGUUUCUGCCAGUCCCUGAGUUGAUGCCUUUUCGGCUAACUCGCCAGUUUAUCAAUCUGAUGUUACCAAUGAAAGAAACGGGCCUUAUGUACAGCGUCAUGGUACACGCGCUCCGGGCCUUCCGCUCAGACCCUGGCCUGCUCACCAACACCAUGGAUGUGUUUGUCAAGGAGCCCUCCUUUGAUUGGAAAAAUUUUGAACAGAAAAUGCUGAAAAAAGGAGGGUCAUGGAUUCAAGAAAUAAAUGUUGCUGAAAAAAAUUGGUACCCCCGACAGAAAAUAUGUUAUGCUAAGAGAAAGUUAGCAGGUGCCAAUCCAGCAGUCAUUACUUGUGAUGAGCUACUCCUGGGUCAUGAGAAGGCUCCUGCCUUCAGAGACUAUGUGGCUGUUGCACGAGGAAGCAAAGAUCACAACAUUCGUGCCCGAGAACCAGAGGGUGGGCUUUCAGAAGAGACUCAAGUGAAGUGCUUGAUGGACCAGGCGACAGACCCCAACAUCCUUGGCAGAACCUGGGAAGGAUGGGAGCCCUGGAUGUGAGGUCUGUGGGACUCUGCAGAUAGAAAGCAUUACAUUGUU